AGGAAAUCGAAAUUAAGGAAAGUGGAGCUGUUCCAAACUGAAUUUGAGCAAUUAUAAAUGUAACUUGAGCAGUUCUUUAACACUUUGAGCAAUUUAAAAUAUUGUAUACAUCAAAAGAUAUAGGAGUUUGAAAAUAUUGAUAAAAGAAUAUUUUUCCACGACUUUUUUGAUUUUUAAUUAAAUAAUUUGAGGUGAGCAAUUUAAAAGGACAAC
RNAcentral lists this unclassified non-coding RNA (213 nucleotides) under Melitaea cinxia (Glanville fritillary). RNAcentral describes it as "misc RNA ENSMCXG00005014668.1". Lineage: Eukaryota; Metazoa; Arthropoda; Insecta; Lepidoptera; Nymphalidae. The record is from RNAcentral.